This 5294-nucleotide long non-coding RNA is filed under the name Sus scrofa (pig). RNAcentral's name for it is "lncRNA (ENSSSCG00055017372.1)". Lineage: Eukaryota; Metazoa; Chordata; Mammalia; Artiodactyla; Suidae. The record is from RNAcentral.
UUUUUUUUUUUUGGGGGGGGUGCACCCACAGCAUAUGGAUGUUCCCAGGCCAGGGAUUGCAUCCCAGCUGCAACUGCAGAAAGCCAGAUCCAUAACCCACUGCACCAGGCUGAGGGUCAAAUCCAUGCCUCUGCAGCAACCUGAGCUGCUGAAGUUGGAUUCUUAACCCACUGCUCCACAGUGGGAUCUGAAGAGUCCUCAUAUUUGAAGUGUUUUUUUAUGACUUUAGUAUGAUUUUCAUUCCAUCUCAUCCAGAGUAAAACACACAACCAAACUAAGGUGAAUAAUGUCAACAUUUGAGAGGGUAUUUGGGGAAAAAACCAUGACACACUUGAUAUAACUGCUGCAAAUAUGGUGUUGAGAAUUAACGGAAUGGCUGGAAAAAAAAAAACUCCCCCCAGAUAGACCUUUAUGGUAUGCAAAUAAGAAAGAAAAUUAAACAGGAAUUACUGAGGAGAUGGUUGAGGACAAACUGAUAGAAAAACAAAUAAAAGGAAAGGCAUCGGUGCUUUGAGAAGACAAGAACUGAAGCCUGUCCUUUAGUAUCACAAAAAACUCAGGAUAUUUAAAUGCAAAACAUUUUCUCUUGGGCAUCACAAUGCCACUUAGUUCUGAGGCCAGUGGCCCAUCACACACAAGGGGCUCCUCAACUGAGGAGACUGCCCAGGGCUCCCUUCACAUCCUUGUUCCUCAGGCUGUAGAUGAAGGGGUUCUGCAAGGGGAGGACCACGGUGUACAUCACUGAGGCCAUGGAGCUUCUCCCGGGAGAACAGAUCACAUCACAUCUGAGGUAGACUGCUGGGCUUAUCCCAAAGUACCAGGAGACCACAGAGGGGGGAGGCUCACAGGUGGAAAAGGCUUCCUAUUUUCCCUCAUAGAGGACAUUCUCACUAAAGAGGAGACAAUAUGAAAGUAAGAGAAAAAGAUUCCAGUGAGGGAAACACACCCAGCAAGGCAGUUGUCACAGACAAGUGGAUGCUGUUAGGGAUGAUCCCUAUGGCUCCCUCUUUCAGAUGCUGCCUGCCUAGUGGAAUCCUCCAGAAGAGGGAAGAGUAGGAUGUCCCUUGUGAGGAAUUAUUUGGGCUACACAGAGAAGAAGAGGAAACAAGAUGGCAAAGCCUUUAAAAUAAAAUGCAAAGCAUGUCUGUGAGUGUGAGAUCAUAUAUACAUGCUUUUUCUUUUUCAGUUAUUUUUUAAUUUUUUGGUGACACUCCUGGCAUGCAGAAGGUCUUGGGCCAGGGAUCAAACCAAUGCCACAACCAUGACCCAAACUACAAAAGUGACAACACUGAAUCCUUAGCUUUCUGAGCCACCAGAGAACUCCCAUAUCUGCUCUUGAGUGGAAAUGCGUCGUAGUGAAAACCAGAAACAGACUCACAGACAUAGAGAACAGAUUGUGAUUGCCCAGGGGAAAGGGGGCAGGAGUGUGAUGGAUGGGGAGUUUGGGGUUGGUAGAUACAAACUGUUACACUUGAAAUGGAUAAGCAUUGAGGUACCUCUCUAUAGCUCAGGGAACUAUAUGCACUCUCGUUGGGUAGAAUAUGAUGGAAGAAUGUAGGAGAAAAGAAUAUAUAUAUGACUGGACCAAUGUGCUGUGUAGCAGAUAUUGACAACACUCUAAAUCAACUAUACUUCAAUUAAAAAAUCAGCACCUAGGAAUUAUCAUACUAAGUGAAGGGACUCAGACAGAGAAAGACAAAUAUCAUAUGCUAUCAUAUAGGUGGAAUUUAAAAAGUGAUACAAGUGAAUUUGUUUACAAAACAGAGACAGAAGCACAGACCUUGAAAACAAAUGUAUGGUUACCAAAGGGGAAGGAUGAGAAAGGAGGGAUGGAUUGGGGGUUUGGGAAGGGCAAAGGGAAAUCUACUCAAUGUUCUGUGUGUUUAAAUCUGUUUUGUAAAUUGGUUCACUUGUAACUUCUCAGGGUGGGGGGCUGCACACUUGGCAUGUGGAAGUUUCUGGGCCAGGGAGUGAACCUGCACCACAGCAGUGACCCGAGCGGCUGCAGUGACAAUGUGAGAUCCUCAACCUGCUGCGCCACAAGAGAACUCCUCUACCAUUUUUUUUAGAUUCCACACUAAGUGAUAUCAUGAGAUAUGAUACAGAUGCUAACUGCAAAUGGGCAUAAAGGAACUCUCUAGGGUGAUAAGAUGUUCUAGAAUGGGACCAUGAUGAUCAUUGAAUAACUCUACACUAAACAAGGAAAUGGAAUUUAUCAUUUCAAUGGCUGAAUUUCAUGGUAUAUAAAUUAUCCCUCAAGAAAUCCAUUAAUAAAUUUUAAAAAGUUUUUUCUAGAAUUAUCCAAGGAGUGUUGAAAACCUGUAUCUUUGUUAUCAACAUUCUUUAUGACACACCAGUAUUUUUAUGGCUGCCACUCUUUACUGCAAUCACAUUUACCUCUUUGGUCCCCAGUUCUGUUUGUAUGGAGCAGAUGAUAAAUACAUUAUGGAUUAAACUUAGUGGUAUCAAGUUGAGUUAAAGCCACACUGAAUAUAUUAUUCCUACCUAACAAGUUAGGAUUUUGCAGGAAUUUGGAGAUCUUUCUAUAUACCCAAUACUUGUUUGUUUCUGUGUUUGCUUAGUUUUGCCCCAGAAGUCCUUGGUACCAUUCAUGGUAUCAUUUUCUCUUCAUGGUCUUGAUCACCUGUCUUAGCUUUGGUUCAACAGAAGCAGAUGCCCAGCCAAGGAUUCACGUGUAAGCACUUUAUUGGAAGGAGUAAGGACCAUGGAACAUGGGUUAGAGUAAGGAGAAGUGAUACAGGGAAGAGAGUACAUCCAAUCAAGCUUACCUUAAGUCAUCCCCCACAUGAGUGAGCAGAGUUUUCAUCCUGUAGGGAAAUUCUGGGAAAUGGCACAAAACCCAAACAUCAGAAUUAACAUGUGCCUAAAGGGUGAAGAAGAUGGUAUCCCCCAUGACUCUCCAUCAAGAGCUGUCCCUGGUGGGGCAUAAUUCGCAGUCAGGUCUGCCAUCAAGCAUGCAAAAUGUUGGUUCCACCCAGUGCUGACAGAGACAGACAGGCCAGAUUGAAGUGGACAUGGGGAAGGGAUCCCAGGGUAAGUAGGGGAAAUGAUGACAGAUUCAGCCACCCCAUCCUUCACUGCAGACUCAAUUCUAUCAAUAGUCUUCUCAUAAGGUGAAUUACCUUCUGAGUACAUUCCACAAGUGUGCAACUACCACUCCCGGUGGCACCUCCCGAAUGUUCCCUCCCCUAAAAUAAACCAGGUAACAAAAUGUUUUAUUCAUUUAUUAUAUCCAUUAUUACAUAUUUGAGAAUCUUGUAGCGCAUCGGAAAACUGCCCUGAUGGGACAUAAAUGUCCAAUGAAACAAGAAAAGGAAAGAGGAAGGGGAAGAAGGAAGGCAAAGGAUGAAGCAGUGUGGAGUUCCAAUCAUGGUUCAGCAUUCACGGACCCAAAUAGGAUUCAUGAGGAUGUUUGAAGAUCCCAGGCCUUGCUUAUUGUGUUCCUGAUCUGGCAUUGACCUGAGGUGAGGUGCAGGUCACAGAGGCCUCCUGGAUCCCACCUUUGUGGUGGCUGCAGUGUACAGUGGCAGCUACAGCUCCAAUUCAAUCCCUAGCCUGGGAAAUUCCAUAUGCCACAGUAGCAGACCUAAAAGGUCAAAAAAAAAAAAAAGACAAUGAAAAAGUUUUUGAGAGUUUUCUGACACAAUAUAUGGCUAUUAAUCACUUGAACAAGCUGACACUCAAAACUAGAUUCCCACUUUUUUAUUUUUGGCUGCUUUAGGCAGCAAUGACAGCUUAUGAAACUUUCCAGGAUACUUGUCAAAUCAGAGCUGCAACUGACAGCCUACACCACAGUCACAGAAAUGCCUGAUUGGAACUGCAUCUGUGACUUAAACCACAGAUCACUCAAUGCAGCAUCCUUAUCACAAUGAUCAAGGCAGGGAUGGAACCAUCAUCCUUGGGUCUUAACCUGCUGGCCAAGACAGGAAACCCUUGCCUGUAAUAGGUUUGAUUCCCUCAGAAGCUGAUACUGAACCAAGGAUGCAUCUUCAAGCACUUUAUAGGAAGGAGCAAAGAACAUGGGCGGGAGAGAGGAGAAGUGAACACAGGGAAGAAAACACACUCAGUCAAUCAGUCCAUGAGAAUGACUGCAAAAUGCUGAAGAAACAUGGAAUAUAUGGACAAGAUAUAAAGGAGAAAUGUCAAAAGGGAAUUGCUGAGAGGGCUGUUUGAGAAACACCAAUCCAAAAACAAAGACAUGUUAAGUCACACAUGCUUUACAAAAAUAGGUCAAGCAUGUUUUGAGGGGAGAAAAGAAAAAAGACAUUGAUCUUUGCAUCAUUUGUCUUUGGAGCCCACCAUGUGCACUUAGUUCUGAGGCCAGUGGCCCAUCACAAACAACAGACUCAGCUGAGGAGCCUUCCCAAAGCCCUCUUCACAUCUUUGUUCCUCAGGCUGUAGAUGAAGGGGUUCAGCAUGGGAGAGACCACGGUGUACAUCACUGAGGCAAUGGAGAUUCUAUGGGGAGAAUGGGUCACAGCAGAGGUGAAGUAGACCCCUAGACUCGUUCCAUAGAACAAGGUGACCACAGAGAGGUGAGACCCACAGGUGGAAAAGGCUUUGUACUUGCCCUCAGUGGACACCAUUUUCAUUAAGGAGGAGACAAUCUGAGAGUAAGAAAAGAGGAUCCCAGUGAGAGGAAGCAUACACAGCAGGGCAGUGGCCACAUACAUACAGACCUCAUUGAUGAAGGUGUCUGAGCAGGCCACCUUGAGAAUCUGAUCCAGUUCACAGAAGAAAUGUGGGAUUUCAGUGCCUACACAGAAUGUCAGCUGCGUCAACAGUAGAAGAUGAACAAGAGCAACACAGAAAAAGACAAACCAACACAUCAGAACCAGAAGGACACAGAGGCGGGCGUCCAUGAUGACCACAUAGUGCAAGGGGUGGCAGAUGGCCACAAAACGGUCAUAGGCCAUCACGGUCAGGAGGAAAUCAUCCAUUCCAACAAAAACGACAAAAAAAUACACCUGAGUGAGGCAUCCUAUGUAGGAGAUGUCUUUGCUCUGUGCCUGGAUGUUCACUAGCGUCUUCGGGACAGUGGUAGAGACGAAACAGAUGUCAACAAAAGACAGGUUGGAGAGGAAGAAGUACAUGGGGGUGUGGAGGCGGGAGUCAGAGCUGACAGCCAGGAUGAUGAGUAGGUUCCCAAGCACGGUGACUAGGUACAUGGAUAAGAAGAGCCCAAAUUGGAAGGGCUGCAGUUCAGGGUCAUCUGAGAGACCCAGGAGGAGGAACAGUUUUGAUACUCCUGUGUGGUUUCCUGCUUCCAUGUA